CCCUCGGCUCCUCGUGACGCGCCCCCGCUAACCCCGUCAGAUCCGGAAGGAAGCAGCGGUCCGUGACGGGCGCGGGUCGUGGAUCACCGGGGGGUU
Molecule: signal recognition particle RNA, 96 nt
Filed under: Candidatus Adiutrix sp.
Lineage: Bacteria; Pseudomonadati; Thermodesulfobacteriota; Desulfarculia; Candidatus Adiutricales; Candidatus Adiutricaceae
Description: signal recognition particle sRNA small type
Rfam family: Bacterial small signal recognition particle RNA
About the family: The signal recognition particle (SRP) is a universally conserved ribonucleoprotein involved in the co-translational targeting of proteins to membranes. Archaeal SRP consists of a 7S RNA and homologues of the eukaryotic SRP19 and SRP54 proteins. In most bacteria, the SRP consists of a 4.5S RNA and the Ffh protein (a homologue of the eukaryotic SRP54 protein).
Source: RNAcentral